GGAUGAAUGCUGGCGGCGUGCCUAAUACAUGCAAGUCGAACGAGGAGCCUCAGCACUUGUAUUCGUACUCGUGCAGGGGAUUUCCUAGUGGCGAACGGGUGAGUAACGCGUUGGUGACCUGCCCCAAAGAGAGGAAUAACAGUUCGAAAGGACUGCUAAUACCUCAUGUGGUCAUGGGAUUUAGAACCCCAUGUCUAAAGGAGUAAUCCACUUUGGGAGGGACCUGCGUCCCAUCAGCUAGUUGGUAGGGUAACGGCCUACCAAGGCAACGACGGGUAGGGGACCUGAGAGGGUGGCCCCCCACAAUGGAACUGAAACACGGUCCAUACACCUACGGGUGGCAGCAGUAGGGAAUAUUGCACAAUGGGCGAAAGCCUGAUGCAGCAACGCCGCGUGUGCGAUGAAGGCCUUCGGGUCGUAAAGCACUUUUUGAGAGGAUGAGAAAGGACAGUACUCUCAGAAUAAGUCUCGGCUAACUACGUGCCAGCAGCCGCGGUAAAACGUAGGAGGCGAGCGUUAUCCGGAUUCACUGGGCGUAAAGCGCGUGCAGGCGGUUUGGUAAGUUGGGCGUGAAAUCUCCCGGCUCAACUGGGAGAGGUCGUUCAAAACUGCCAAACUAGAGGACGGUAGAGGAAGGUGGAAUUCCAGGUGUAGUGGUGAAAUGCGUAGAUAUCUGGAGGAACACCUGUGGCGAAGGCGGCCUUCUGGCCCGCUCCUGACACUAAGACGCGAAAGCUAGGGGAGAGAACGGGAUUAGAAACCCCGGUAGUCCUAGCCGUAAACGAUGUCAACUAGGCGUUGGUGGGUUAAUAGCCAUCAGUGCCGCAGCUAACGCGAUAAGUUGACCGCCUGGGGACUACGGCCGCAAGGUUAAAACUCAAAGGAAUUGACGGGGGCCCGCACAAGCAGCGGAGCGUGUGGUUUAAUUCGAUGCUACGCGAAGAACCUUACCUGGGCUUGACAUGUCGAUGAACGAUUGCGAAAGCAUGAGGCUCCCUUCGGGGACAUCGUCACAGGUGUUGCAUGGCUGUCGUCAGCUCGUGUCGUGAGAUGUUGGGUUAAGUCCCGUAACGAGCGCAACCCUUAUCCUUAUUUGCCAGCACAUCAUGGUGGGAACUAUAAGGAGACUGCCGGUGAUAAACCGGAGGAAGGCGGGGACGACGUCAAGUCAUCAUGGCCCUUACGACCAGGGCUACACACGUGUUACAAUGGGAAGGACAAAGGGUUGCUAAACCGCGAGGUGGUGCUAAUCUCACAAAUCUUUUCGUAGUCCGGAUCGGAGUCUGCAACUCGACUCCGUGAAGUCGGAAUCGCUAGUAAUCGUAGAUCAGAACGCUACGGUGAAUACGUUCCCGGGUCUUGUACACACCGC
Molecule: ribosomal RNA, 1372 nt
Filed under: uncultured prokaryote
Description: partial 16S ribosomal RNA
Rfam family: Bacterial small subunit ribosomal RNA
Source: RNAcentral